Molecule: ribosomal RNA, 468 nt
Filed under: uncultured bacterium
Lineage: Bacteria
Description: partial 16S ribosomal RNA
Rfam family: Bacterial small subunit ribosomal RNA
Source: RNAcentral
GACGAACGCUGGCGGCGUGCUUAACACAUGCAAGUCGAACGGAAAGGCCCUGCUUUUGUGGGGUGCUCGAGUGGCGAACGGGUGAGUAACACGUGAGUAACCUGCCCUUGACUUUGGGAUAACUUCAGGAAACUGGGGCUAAUACCGGAUAGGAGCUCCUGCUGCAUGGUGGGGGUUGGAAAGUUUCGGCGGUUGGGGAUGGACUCGCGGCUUAUCAGCUUGUUGGUGGGGUAGUGGCUUACCAAGGCUUUGACGGGUAGCCGGCCUGAGAGGGUGACCGGCGACAUGGGGACUGAGAUACGGCGCAGACUCCUACGGGAGGCAGCAGUGGGGAAUAUUGCACAAUGGGGGGAAGCCUGAUGCAGCAACGCCGCGUGCGGGAUGACGGCCUUCGGGUUGUAAACCGCUUUCGCCUGUGACGAAGCGGGAGUGACGGUAAUGGGUAAAGAAGCACCGGCUAACUACGUG